CUGCUGAAUAAGACUAUAAUAUAUAUCUGUUAAGUGCUGUGUCUUUCCCCUGCACAAAAUAAGGUUGUUUCUUAAGUAUAUCUAUUUGCUAUUCCCCUGCAGCAGCCAGGUAUGCCUCGUCUCAUACAG
Molecule: small nucleolar RNA, 129 nt
Filed under: Castor canadensis (American beaver)
Lineage: Eukaryota; Metazoa; Chordata; Mammalia; Rodentia; Castoridae
Description: Small nucleolar RNA SNORA63 (ENSCCNG00000020484.1)
Source: RNAcentral